GUGGGGAAUAUUGCACAAUGGGCGCAAGCCUGAUGCAGCAACGCCGCGUGAGGGACGACGGCCUUCGGGUUGUAAACCUCUUUUGGCAGGGAAGAAGCGAAAGUGACGGUACCUGCAGAAAAAGCACCGGCUAACUACGUGCCAGCAGCCGCGGUGAUACGUAGGGUGCAAGCGUUGUCCGGAAUUAUUGGGCGUAAAGAGCUCGUAGGCGGUUUGUCGCGUCUGCUGUGAAAACCCGAGGCUCAACCUCGGGCCUGCAGUGGGUACGGGCAAACUAGAGUGCGGUAGGGGAGAUUGGAAUUCCUGGUGUAGCGGUGGAAUGCGCAGAUAUCAGGAGGAACACCGAUGGCGAAGGCAGAUCUCUGGGCCGUAACUGACGCUGAGGAGCGAAAGCAUGGGGAGCGAACA
This 408-nucleotide ribosomal RNA is filed under the name uncultured bacterium. RNAcentral describes it as "bacterial SSU rRNA". It matches the Rfam family "Bacterial small subunit ribosomal RNA", at positions 354 to 774 of the family's 1533-position model. The record is from RNAcentral.